This 486-nucleotide ribosomal RNA is filed under the name uncultured bacterium. RNAcentral describes it as "partial 16S ribosomal RNA". It matches the Rfam family "Bacterial small subunit ribosomal RNA", at positions 30 to 507 of the family's 1533-position model. The record is from RNAcentral.
AUUGAACGCUGGCGGCAUGCCUUACACAUGCAAGUCGAACGGCAGCACGGGUGCUUGCACCUGGUGGCGAGUGGCGAACGGGUGAGUAAUACAUCGGAACAUGUCCUGUAGUGGGGGAUAGCCCGGCGAAAGCCGGAUUAAUACCGCAUACGAUCUACGGAUGAAAGCGGGGGACCUUCGGGCCUCGCGCUAUAGGGUUGGCCGAUGGCUGAUUAGCUAGUUGGUGGGGUAAAGGCCUACCAAGGCGACGAUCAGUAGCUGGUCUGAGAGGACGACCAGCCACACUGGGAUUGAGACACGGCCCAGACUCCUACGGGAGGCAGCAGUGGGGAAUUUUGGACAAAGGGCGAAAGCCUGAUCCAGCAAUGCCGCGUGUGUGAAGAAGGCCUUCGGGUUGUAAAGCACUUUUGUCCGGAAAGAAAUCCUUGGCCCUAAUACGGUCGGGGGAUGACGGUACCGGAAGAAUAAGCACCGGCUAACUACGUG